GCUUUACUGAGCAGAGAAAAAAACAGGGUAAUCAUAUAAGGGAACGGAUCGAUCGAUGCAUUGUGAAUGAUGCAUAGGCAAACCAGUUUUCAUUUGCAAGGCUGGAGAAUCUCUACGUUCUAGUUUCUGACCACACACCUAUCCUUUUGAGAUGUAACCGGAAGGAAGUUUACUAUCAUGACAAACCCUUUAAAUUUGAAAAUACUUGGUUCUU
RNAcentral lists this long non-coding RNA (214 nucleotides) under Carica papaya (papaya). RNAcentral's name for it is "long non-coding RNA (CPAP_LNC015964)". Lineage: Eukaryota; Viridiplantae; Streptophyta; Magnoliopsida; Brassicales; Caricaceae. The record is from RNAcentral.